CAGCGCCCCUUCACUGACUGACAGGGAUCGCACACUAGCUAGUAUGGUUUGUAACAAGAUGACACACUGAAAUCAGCUUGUUCAGACCAACAAACAAGCUUAGAUGUUUCCUUUGCAGUUCAGAUGUCACCCACUGAACCGAAUCAACCAAGGAGACGUGCAAGAAGAAGAAGAAGAAGAAGAGGGAAAAAAACUCCCCUUGCCAAGAACACAAGAACAGAGUAUAAGAGUCGAGUUAAUCAGCAGCAGCGGCCGGGGCUCGAUCCACCCGCGCAUAUAUCAGUGAGUCACCUGCUCAUCAUCUCAUCUCAUUGGGAUGCCAGAUGCCGAAUGCCGAUGCGGAUGCCAGUACCAAUGACUUGUUUGUACUAGAGUAGUACGUAUAUUACAAUGGUUGGUUGGGGAUCACCUCACGCCGCUCUCACAUCCCCUUCUUCUUCUUCUUCUUUUGCAGGGUGCCCGUGGCGACGGCGGCGGCUACGGCGUCGUCGUCGCAGACGCCGCGCGUGCCGUAGCAGUGCAGGAACACCCAGAGCAGGGCGGCGUUGAGGAGGGUGUUGACCACCCACGCCCCGAUGCCGCUGCACCCGUCGGCCAUCGCCCCGCCGAAGUGCAUCCACACGACCCAACUUUGGUGUUGGACUGCGUAUCAUGAUCUGAACAACACGCAGGUAGUCAUGGUGGGAGCAGAAAAGAUCGAUGAUGGUGCAGAAGAAGUUAGUAUGUAUUCUUUCUGUUCCAAAAUAGAUGACCCAACUUUGUAUUAACUUUAGUAUAAAAUUGGAUUAUCUAUUUUGAAACGGAGGGAGUACGUAGUAAUCCAUCCAUCUGCUGGCCAGCGGAGGACGAAGAGAUCCAUGUCGCUGGGUGCAAGGGAAAAGAGGUAGGCAUUCAGAGCCGCGCCGUAGGUACGUGCGUUCAUGCUUGCAUGUUUUCCAGACGAUGACAGAGUAAACCAGGGUAAUUAAAGUCGAUCAGGUGGCCGGAUCAAGGGGAUCGAGGAUGUGUAAAUACAUGUUUUGGUGUGAUGAUGAUGAUGAUGGUGUAGCGAUGAAAUUGCUAUAAGAAAACAAAGGAGAAAUUGUAGCGCGGUGAUCCGGUAUAUAUCAUGUAAUUGUUUGUGAUUAGUGUUGGUCGUAUUGUAUAUGAGGGAAAUGUUUUGCUAAAGCACAUCUAGAUUUAUUCUAAGUAUUGCACAUCUAAGUCCA
This is a long non-coding RNA of Triticum dicoccoides, 1208 nucleotides long. RefSeq lists it as uncharacterized. The transcript is spliced from 2 exons. The record is from RefSeq and is a predicted model, not a curated record. Lineage: Eukaryota; Viridiplantae; Streptophyta; Magnoliopsida; Poales; Poaceae.